GGCCAAGUGGUGAAACUGGUAAACACGCGGCGUUCAGACCGCCGUGCCUUAGGGCAUGGGAGUUCGACUCUCCCCUUGGUCAC
This 83-nucleotide transfer RNA is filed under the name Symmachiella macrocystis. RNAcentral's name for it is "Planctomycetes bacterium CA54 tRNA-Ser". It matches the Rfam family "tRNA". From Rfam's summary of the family: Transfer RNA (tRNA) molecules are approximately 80 nucleotides in length. Their secondary structure includes four short double-helical elements and three loops (D, anti-codon, and T loops). Lineage: Bacteria; Pseudomonadati; Planctomycetota; Planctomycetia; Planctomycetales; Planctomycetaceae. The record is from RNAcentral.